AACGAACGCUGGCGGCAUGCCUAACACAUGCAAGUCGAACGAGACCUUCGGGUCUAGUGGCGCACGGGUGCGUAACGCGUGGGAACCUGCCCUUAGGUUCGGAAUAACUCCCCGAAAGGGGUUCUAAUACCGGAUAAUGUCUUCGGACCAAAGAUUUAUCGCCUUUGGAUGGGCCCGCGUUGGAUUAGCUAGUUGGUAGGGUAAAAGCCUACCAAGGCGACGAUCCAUAGCUGGUCUGAGAGGAUGAUCAGCCACACUGGGACUGAGACACGGCCCAGACUCGUACGGGAGGCAGCAGUGGGGAAUAUUGGACAAUGGGCGAAAGCCUGAUCCAGCAAUGCCGCGUGAGUGAUGAAGGCCUUAGGGUUGUAAAGCUCUUUUACCCGGGAUGAUAAUGACAGUACCGGGAGAAUAAGCACCGGCUAACUCCGUG
Molecule: ribosomal RNA, 433 nt
Filed under: uncultured bacterium
Lineage: Bacteria
Description: partial 16S ribosomal RNA
Rfam family: Bacterial small subunit ribosomal RNA
Source: RNAcentral